This 301-nucleotide ribosomal RNA is filed under the name uncultured bacterium. RNAcentral describes it as "partial 16S ribosomal RNA". It matches the Rfam family "Bacterial small subunit ribosomal RNA", at positions 509 to 808 of the family's 1533-position model. The record is from RNAcentral.
CAGUCGCCGCGGUAAGACAGAGGAUGCAAGCGUUAUCCGGAAUGAUUGGGCGUAAAGCGUCUGUAGGUGGCUUUUCAAGUCCGCCGUCAAAUCCCAGGGCUCAACCCUGACAGGCGGUGGAAACUACCAAGCUAGAGUACGGUAGGGGCAGAGGGAAUUUCCGGUGGAGCGGUGAAAUGCGUUGAGAUCGGAAAGAGCACCAACGGCGAAAGCACUCUGCUGGGCCGACACCGACACUGAGAGACGAAAGCUAGGGGAGCAAAUGGGAUUAGAUACCCGCGUAGUCCCUGUCUCUUAUACA